Molecule: unclassified non-coding RNA, 367 nt
Filed under: soil metagenome
Description: partial contains 5.8S ribosomal RNA, internal transcribed spacer 2, and large subunit ribosomal RNA
Rfam family: 5.8S ribosomal RNA (bases 1-122)
Source: RNAcentral
GAUGAAGAACGUAGCGAAAUGCAAUACUUGGUGUGAAUUGCAGAAUCCCGUGAACCAUCGAGUUUUUGAACGCAAGUUGCGCCCGAAGCCGUUAGGCCGAGGGCACGCCUGCCUGGGUGUCACACAUCGUUGCCCCAAUGCCAAUCGCCUCACUUUGUAGGUAUUUGCUUGGGGUGAAUGUUGGCCUCCCGUGAGUUUUGUCUCACGGUUGGUUGAAAAUCGAGUGCAUGGUGUCGGGUGUACCAUGAUGGAUGGUGGUUGAGUGAUGAUGCUCGGUGACCCACAUGCGUCCCUUGGAUGCUCCCUAAGGAGACCUCAGGUCAGGCGGGGCUACCCACUGAGUUUAAGCAUAUCAAUAAGCGGAGGA